RNAcentral lists this ribosomal RNA (460 nucleotides) under uncultured bacterium. RNAcentral's name for it is "partial 16S ribosomal RNA". It matches the Rfam family "Bacterial small subunit ribosomal RNA", at positions 338 to 795 of the family's 1533-position model. The record is from RNAcentral.
CCUACGGGAGGCAGCAGUGAGGAAUAUUGGUCAAUGGCCGGAAGGCUGAACCAGCCAUGCCGCGUGAAGGUCAGUGCCCUAUGGGCGUUAAACUUCUUUUGUGCGGGAGCAAUAAUGGUCACGUGUGGCCAGACGAGAGUACCGUACGAAUAAGCAUCGGCUAACUCCGUGCCAGCAGACGCGGUAAUACGGGGGAUGCAAGCGUUAUCCGGAUUUAUUGGGUUUAAAGGGUGCGUAGGCGGUGAGGGAAGUCAGCGGUGAAAUGCCACCGCGCAACGGGGUGAAGUGCCAUUGAUACUGGCUUGCUGGAAUGCGCAUGCAGUGGGAGGAAUGUGUGGUGUAGCGGUGAAAUGCAUAGAUAUCACACAGAACACCGAUUGCGAAGGCAUCACACGAAUCCGCGAUUGACGCUGAUGCACGAAAGCGUGGGUAUCAAACAGGAUUAGAUACCCCUGUAGUC